AUUGAACGCUGGCGGCAGGCUUAACACAUGCAAGUCGAGCGGUAACAGAGAGAAGCUUGCUUCUCUGCUGACGAGCGGCGGACGGGUGAGUAAUGCCUAGGAAUCUGCCUAGUAGUGGGGGAUAACUUGCCGAAAGGUAAGCUAAUACCGCAUACGUCCUACGGGAGAAAGGAGGGGACCUUCGGGCCUUUCGCUAUUAGAUGAGCCUAGGUCGGAUUAGUUAGUUGGUGAGGUAAUGGCUCACCAAGACCGCGAUCCGUAACUGGUCUGAGAUGAUGAUCAGUCACACUGGAACUGAGACACGGUCCAGACUCCUACGGGAGGCAGCAGUGGGGAAUAUUGGAAAAUGGGGGGAACCCUGAUCCAGCCAUGCCGCGUGUGUGAAGAAGGUCUUAGGAUUGUAAAGCACUUUAAGUUGGGAGGAAGAGCAGUUAACUAAUAUUUGACUGUUUUGACGUUACCGACAGAAUAAGCACCGGCUAACUUCGUGCCAGCCGCCGCAGUAA
Molecule: ribosomal RNA, 506 nt
Filed under: uncultured bacterium
Lineage: Bacteria
Description: partial 16S ribosomal RNA
Rfam family: Bacterial small subunit ribosomal RNA
Source: RNAcentral